RNAcentral lists this ribosomal RNA (372 nucleotides) under uncultured organism. Its description in RNAcentral is "partial 16S ribosomal RNA". It matches the Rfam family "Bacterial small subunit ribosomal RNA", at positions 527 to 896 of the family's 1533-position model. The record is from RNAcentral.
GUAGGUGGCAAGCGUUGUCCGGAAUUAUUGGGCGUAAAGCGCGCGCAGGCGGUUCUUUAAGUCUGAUGUGAAAGCCCACGGCUCAACCGUGGAGGGUCAUUGGAAACUGGAGAACUUGAGUACAGAAGAGGAAAGCGGAAUUCCACGUGUAGCGGUGAAAUGCGUAGAGAUGUGGAGGAACACCAGUGGCGAAGGCGGCUUUCUGGUCUGUAACUGACGCUGAGGCGCGAAAGCGUGGGGGAGCAAACAGGAUUAGAUACCCUGGUAGUCCGCGCCGUAAACGAUGAGUGCUAAGUGUUAGGGGGUUUCCGCCCCUUAGUGCUGCAGCUAACGCAUUAAGCACUCCGGCCUGGGAGUACGGCCGCAAGGCUG